UGAGGAAUAUUGGUCAAUGGACGCAAGUCUGAACCAGCCAUGCCGCGUGCAGGAUGAAGCAUCUAUGGUGUGUAAACUGCUUUUGUACGGGAAGAAACACUCCUACGUGUAGGAGCUUGACGGUACCGUAAGAAUAAGGAUCGGCUAACUCCGUGCCAGCAGCCGCGGUAAUACGGAGGAUCCAAGCGUUAUCCGGAAUCAUUGGGUUUAAAGGGUCCGUAGGCGGCUUUAUAAGUCAGUGGUGAAAGCCCAUCGCUUAACGAUGGAACGGCCAUUGAUACUGUAGAGCUUGAAUUACUUGGAAGUAACUAGAAUAUGUAGUGUAGCGGUGAAAUGCUUAGAUAUUACAUGGAAUACCAAUUGCGAAGGCAGGUUACUACAAGUGGAUUGACGCUGAUGGACGAAAGCGUGGGGAGCGAACA
This 422-nucleotide ribosomal RNA is filed under the name uncultured Flavobacterium sp. RNAcentral's name for it is "bacterial SSU rRNA". It matches the Rfam family "Bacterial small subunit ribosomal RNA", at positions 355 to 774 of the family's 1533-position model. Lineage: Bacteria; Pseudomonadati; Bacteroidota; Flavobacteriia; Flavobacteriales; Flavobacteriaceae. The record is from RNAcentral.